GCCCUCUUAGCUCAGUUGGUAGAGCACUUCCAUGGUAAGGAAGGGGUCAUCGGUUCGAGUCCGAUAGAGGGCUUCA
This 76-nucleotide transfer RNA is filed under the name Baekduia soli. RNAcentral describes it as "tRNA-Thr". It matches the Rfam family "tRNA". From Rfam's summary of the family: Transfer RNA (tRNA) molecules are approximately 80 nucleotides in length. Their secondary structure includes four short double-helical elements and three loops (D, anti-codon, and T loops). The record is from RNAcentral. Lineage: Bacteria; Bacillati; Actinomycetota; Thermoleophilia; Solirubrobacterales; Baekduiaceae.